GUCACUGUUACACAGUUUUGGUGUAGCCAGGGGAGGUGUGGCUAGGGCUGCAUAAACAAACAAAAGUGAUUUAACCCCUGAAGAGCAGUGAGACUGCAUAGACAUGAUCUAUAUACCAAAAAUGCUUUACUAAGCUAAAGUUAAUUUUGAGGACUAUAGUGUCCCUUUAAAAACAGUGCCAUUUCUGAGAAUUACCUUUUUAUUCCUAUGCCUGGCAGCUGCAUGUUGACGCUAC
This is a non-coding RNA of Pelobates cultripes (western spadefoot toad), 235 nucleotides long. NCBI's taxonomy places the organism in Eukaryota, Metazoa, Chordata, Amphibia, Anura, Pelobatidae. The record is from the annotation of a GenBank genome assembly.